UCCCGUGUGGCUCAGUUGGUAGAGCAUGGUGUUUGCAGCGCCAGGGUUGUGGGUGCGAUUCCCACAGGGGAC
Salmo salar (Atlantic salmon) is the source of this 72-nucleotide non-coding RNA. The record is from Rfam. NCBI's taxonomy places the organism in Eukaryota, Metazoa, Chordata, Actinopteri, Salmoniformes, Salmonidae.